Molecule: long non-coding RNA, 515 nt
Filed under: Mytilus galloprovincialis (Mediterranean mussel)
Lineage: Eukaryota; Metazoa; Mollusca; Bivalvia; Mytilida; Mytilidae
Source: RNAcentral
GAAAAGUUUAACGGUGAACAUUUAUCAUCAUUCAAACCAACAACCAUUACGGAACUCACGAAGAUCAUACAAUCUGCACCAUCAAAACACUGUGAACUAGAUCCAAUGCCUACCUAUUUACUAAAAUCUUGUUCAAAUGAACUUCUACCGGCAGUGACAAACAUUGUUUAUUGCUCGUUGUCAGAAUCACUGGUGCCAUCUUCAUUUAAGCAAGCUAUCGUUCGACCAUUGCUGAAGAAACCUAGUCUAGAUCGUGAAGUGUCAAAAAAACUACCGUCCGGUGUCAAACCUUCCGUUUUUGUCAAAGGUCUUGGAAAAAGUUGUUUCAUCUCGGCUUGAACACCACAUAGAAUCGAAUAAUCUGCACGAAAAUCUGCAAUCUGCAUACCGAGCUCGUCAUUCUACAGAAACAGCUCUUCUACGUGUUCACCACGAUAUAGUUUCUGCACUGGACAAAAACAGUUGUGUUGUACUUCUGAUGAUCGAUCUUUCGGCCGCAUUUGAUGUUAUUGACC